This 420-nucleotide ribosomal RNA is filed under the name uncultured bacterium. RNAcentral's name for it is "bacterial SSU rRNA". It matches the Rfam family "Bacterial small subunit ribosomal RNA", at positions 30 to 452 of the family's 1533-position model. The record is from RNAcentral.
AUUGAACGCUGGCGGAAUGCUUUACACAUGCAAGUCGAACGGCAGCACGAGGGCAACCUUGGUGGCGAGUGGCGAACGGGUGAGUAAUACAUCGGAACGUGCCCAGUCGUGGGGGAUAACGUAGCGAAAGCUACGCUAAUACCGCAUACGGUCUAUGGAUGAAAGCGGGGGACCGUAAGGCCUCGCGCGAUUGGAGCGGCCGAUGGCAGAUUAGGUAGUUGGUGGGGUAAAGGCUCACCAAGCCUGCGAUCUGUAGCUGGUCUGAGAGGACGACCAGCCACACUGGAACUGAGACACGGUCCAGACUCCUACGGGAGGCAGCAGUGGGGAAUUUUGGACAAUGGGCGCAAGCCUGAUCCAGCCAUUCCGCGUGCAGGAUGAAGGCCUCGGUUGUUAACGUAGUACGUUUGUUACGGUAAC